RNAcentral lists this ribosomal RNA (362 nucleotides) under uncultured rumen bacterium. RNAcentral's name for it is "bacterial SSU rRNA". It matches the Rfam family "Bacterial small subunit ribosomal RNA", at positions 19 to 363 of the family's 1533-position model. The record is from RNAcentral.
UUGGCUCAGGAUGAACGCUGGCGGCGUGCCUAACACAUGCAAGUCGAACGAAGCAUCUUCCUCAGAGAUUCGUCGAAGAGGGAUUUGACUUAGUGGCGGACGGGUGAGUAAUGUAUGAGCAACCUGCCUUUCAGAGGGGGACAACAGUUGGAAACGACUGCUAAUACCGCAUAAUGUAUCGAGGGGGCAUCCCUUUGAUACCAAAGGAGCAAUCCGCUGAAAGAUGGGCUCAUAUCUGAUUAGUUAGAUGGCAGGGUAACGGCCUACCAAGACUGCGAUCAGUAGCCGGACUGAGAGGUUGAACGGCCACAUUGGGACUGAGAUACGGCCCAGACUCCUACGGGAGGCAGCAGUGGGGAAUA